AUGAGCGCUACAUACCCAAUAAAACAGCCGUCAUCACUAUGGAUGGAAUCGCACGAUUCAUGGCUGCUCCACUACUCUACGGGGACGCGGUUUGCAUCGGCGACGGCCUUCGGCCUGCCGGCGCUGACCGCCGAGACCAUGGACUUGCUGAAAGUCGCAGAAGAGCGAUUCCAUCUGGCACAAGAUGCUAGUUUGAUGGUGGAGUUGGCGAUGUGCACAGCGAUCUAUGGCUACUCGUCGGGAACUGGACCACAGGAGAAGGAUGAGAAAUCCUAUCUCUUUGGCGAUUUUGCAAAUCAGCCUCUGAAUUAUUUGAUAAUCCUGAACAAGUCCCUGUAUUUUUAA
RNAcentral lists this ribosomal RNA (345 nucleotides) under Triticum aestivum (bread wheat). RNAcentral's name for it is "partial small subunit ribosomal RNA". Lineage: Eukaryota; Viridiplantae; Streptophyta; Magnoliopsida; Poales; Poaceae. The record is from RNAcentral.